GGAAGUGUGCCUGAAGGUUUAAGGAACUCCUUGAUAGGGAGAACCACAAAGGUUCAAAUCCUUUCACUUCC
This 71-nucleotide transfer RNA is filed under the name Pristimantis cajamarcensis (Cajamarca robber frog). RNAcentral's name for it is "tRNA-Ile". It matches the Rfam family "tRNA". From Rfam's summary of the family: Transfer RNA (tRNA) molecules are approximately 80 nucleotides in length. Their secondary structure includes four short double-helical elements and three loops (D, anti-codon, and T loops). Lineage: Eukaryota; Metazoa; Chordata; Amphibia; Anura; Strabomantidae. The record is from RNAcentral.